UUUUUUUUUUUUUUUUUUAAAAAAAUCAAAAACAAAAAAAUUUUCCCCCCCCCAAAAAAAAGAAAAAAAAAAAAAUAGUCAGGAAACAACUCUUCCAGCAUUACCCUCUCCAUGUAUUAGAAAAGGGGCCCCUCAAACCUGAUGUAACUCAUCAACACAACAGCUGAAAUUUCUGUAGACCACACUGACCCCCCAUGUAAUUCCAGAUUCCGGCCAUUCAACUUUGGCUUCAGCAUCAACAAACAGAUUGGAAAUUGAUUGUUUCCUACAUUUCAUAUAGGCAAAUGUUGAUAUGUGCAACAUCACAGCCCCAGAAAGUUGAAAAUGUGUUGCGUACUGGCAUUGCCACGCAUAGAGAGCAGAUUUGCUGCCUUCCAUCAUCUUUCUGAAUACAUGUGCU
RNAcentral lists this unclassified non-coding RNA (400 nucleotides) under Hevea brasiliensis (rubber tree). Lineage: Eukaryota; Viridiplantae; Streptophyta; Magnoliopsida; Malpighiales; Euphorbiaceae. The record is from RNAcentral.